AGCCACACCUGAUUGGGGAGUAUAUGGUGCAGAUCCGAGAUGCAUAUUUUUACUGAAUCAUGUUUGUUUUCAGUUCAGGGAUUGCUGAUGAUAGGUUUGACUUCGAUCCAAGCUCUUCAAAAUUGCUAGGAGGAAAUGGGAAGAUUGCAAAAGGUCCAAUCAUCUUAUGCUGGCAGGACGCGAGAAUCGAAAAGAUGAUGAACAUGUGCUGAAGUUUGUUGAACAACACAAGUUAGAGCACCAAGCAAGAAGGCACCAAUUUCACCACAAGCAGAAAUAGAAAGACCAUGCAGUUUGCCACUCCAAGUUCACCGUUGCAAAUUUGGUGGGGUAAAUAACUGAACUGGUGAGCAAGAUGUGCUUGUUUGUGAAGCCAAAUACAGACAACCCAAAGUGUGGAGAAUUUGGUCGCCAUUUUUACUAUCUAUGGGAGUUUUUAUACAAUCACUCCACGGUGCAUGCAAAUACUUGUCAGGAAGGAUGCCCAAAGCUGCAAGGAUGGUGGUCAACUGGACCAUUAAGAUAACUGAAAACAUAUUGUAAACAUUCUGUAAUCAUAGGGAAUGCAUCCAUAACUUGCUGCUGACAGUUAUUAGCAUCAGGAGCAUGCAUAAUCAACAGACCCACAUUCCAACAGAGAACAUAUCAUUUAGCUUG
Lolium perenne is the source of this 657-nucleotide long non-coding RNA. RefSeq lists it as uncharacterized. The record is from RefSeq and is a predicted model, not a curated record. Lineage: Eukaryota; Viridiplantae; Streptophyta; Magnoliopsida; Poales; Poaceae.